Melanotaenia boesemani (Boeseman's rainbowfish) is the source of this 136-nucleotide small nuclear RNA. RefSeq annotates it as U11 spliceosomal RNA. The record is from RefSeq and is a predicted model, not a curated record. The transcript has a single exon. NCBI's taxonomy places the organism in Eukaryota, Metazoa, Chordata, Actinopteri, Atheriniformes, Melanotaeniidae.
AAAAAGGGCUUCUAUCAUGUUUGAUACAGGGGAGGUGAGGGUGUCUCAUUUCCUCUGCGGAAUCGCCAUCAAGAGAUUUCGGAAGCAUAAUUUUUGAAGCACGAGGCUGCUAGUGAUCAGUAUUCCUGGCGCCUCA